AGAGUUUGAUCAUGGCUCAGAUUGUACGCUGGCGGCAGGCUUAACACAUGCAAGUCGAACGGUAACAGGAAGGAAGCUUGCUUUCUUUGCUGACGAGUGGCGGACGGGUGAGUAAUGCUUGGGAAUCUGGCUUAUGGAGGGGGAUAACUACGGGAAACUGUAGCUAAUACCGCGUAGUAUCGGAAGAUGAAAGUGUGGGACCGCAAGGCCACAUGCCAUAAGAUGAGCCCAAGUGGGAUUAGGUAGUUGGUUAGGUAAAGGCUGACCAAGCCGACGAUCUCUAGCUGGUCUGAGAGGAUGACCAGCCACACUGGAACUGAGACACGGUCCAGACUCCUACGGGAGGCAGCAGUGGGGAAUAUUGCACAAUGGGGGGAACCCUGAUGCAGCCAUGCCGCGUGAAUGAAGAAGGCCUUCGGGUUGUAAAGUUCUUUCGGUGAUGAGGAAGGUGUUUGUUUGAAUAGGACAAGCUAAUUGACGUUAGUCACAGAAGAAGCACCGGCUAACUCCGUGCCAGCAGCCGCGGUAAUACGGAGGGUGCGAGCGUUAAUCGGAAUAACUGGGCGUAAAGGGCACGCAGGCGGUGACUUAAGUGAGAUGUGAAAGCCCCGGGCUUAACCUGGGAAUUGCAUUUCAUACUGGGUCGCUAGAGUACUUUAGGGAGGGGUAGAAUUCCACGUGUAGCGGUGAAAUGCGUAGAGAUGUGGAGGAAUACCGAAGGCGAAGGCAGCCCCUUGGGAAUGUACUGACGCUCAUGUGCGAAAGCGUGGGGAGCAAACAGGAUUAGAUACCCUGGUAGUCCACGCUGUAAACGCUGUCGAUUUGGGGAUUGGGCUUUGAGCUUGGUGCCCGUAGCU
Molecule: ribosomal RNA, 857 nt
Filed under: uncultured bacterium
Lineage: Bacteria
Description: bacterial SSU rRNA
Rfam family: Bacterial small subunit ribosomal RNA
Source: RNAcentral